This 160-nucleotide unclassified non-coding RNA is filed under the name uncultured Cryptococcus. RNAcentral describes it as "sequence contains ITS2". The record is from RNAcentral. Lineage: Eukaryota; Fungi; Basidiomycota; Tremellomycetes.
AGACUCAAUCCCUCGGGUUUCCGAGGAGAUUGGACUUGGGUGUUGCCGCCCUGCCGGCUCGUCUUAAAAGACUUAGCGGGAUAGCACCGUAGUCGGCGUAAUAAGUUUCGUCGGUGAAGGUUGUGAUGACUGCUUACAAUCGCCCACGGGCAAUUUUUGA